CAAAACUUCGGGGGGUAUUUGCAAAACGUCAUGUUCAUUAACAAAAAAAUUUGACGAAGGCGGUAAAUUGACUAACGUUGUGAAAUUUCAGGGGGGUAAUUGAAGUUUUGUUAAUUUCAGGGAGGUAAUUGAUGAAACUUACAAUUUCAAAGGUGAAAUUGAUUAUUUACUCAUAUGAGAAUAUAACAUCAUUACCCGACUUCCAAAUAAACUGAUUACAAAAUCUCAAACUAAAACCAAACAACGUAUGAGGUGAGAUCAAACUACAAACGAUCGUAAUAGAGUAAGAAACCCAAACAAGUUUGUUGAUAUUACAAAUUCGUACCCCAACCAGUUGAAAACUUUAUACCAAACACGAAAAGAUAAAUAACAAAUUACAAGCAAGUGGUACAACGGCUCCUAGUAAUGGCCCCAAAAUACAUAGUUGGACCCUUUAACAUCUUGGAUAACAUUCCCUCUUGUUGAUUUGUCUCUUUGUUUGAUUGCACUUCUUCCUUUAUUGAUUCUUCUAUUGAUUUCACUUCUCCCUCUUGAUUCUUCUAAUUAAUUGGACUUCUCUCUAUUGAUUCUUCUGAUUGAUUUCACUUCUCCCCCCUUUUGAUUCUUCUCUUUGGUUGUUUAUCUCUCUAUUGGUUCAUUUGUAUGGUUGCUUCUCCAUAUGAUUCUUGUGUUGGUUUAGUUUGAGAUGGUUCUUUUGCUUUGAUGGUUCUUUUUGUUGACUCUACGAUGAUAACUCACUUUGGUUGAUGCUCUUCAUUGGUUAUGCUAUCAGCUGAUUUGGUUUAUUUUCUUUGUUAAUUUUAACAAGCUUAAAUCUUAAUAAGCUUUAACUUGAGGGGUAGUGUUAGAAGUUUAUAUUAUUUAGUAUGUUUUCGUAUUUUAUUUGACAAACUCACAAUGCUUCUUGUUGAUGCAUCUUGAGUUUGAGGGUAAUACUUACUUUUGUGUUUCACUCUCCAUCAGUAUAUAUUGAAGACACCAGUGUUGUUGUAUUGUGGCACCCAAAUCAUUGUACAUUACUUAGCAUUAAGAAGGCAAGUACUUAUAAAGAUCAAGAUCACAAGAAAUUUGUGUAUUUAGUUUUAUUCAUUUAUGGUAUAAAGGUAGAUUGUGUGGUAGUUAAAGAUUGAAGAGCCUGUCCAAAACUUGUAAGGUCAGAUAGACCAAAAAGAAGAGAAAGUGUUCGGAAUCUGAGAGGGUAUCUCAAGCACUAAAUCGAAAAAUUUCACAGUCAGUAGGGAACGGACUAACCCAGUUAAGAUUAGCAAGUAAAAUUGCUCUGUGUCAUUUUCUCUAUCCCUUAACUCCUUAUUUGAUAGUUCAAAAAGAAACACAUUCAACCAAUCUCUUCUUCUAUUAAUUUGAUACAUACUUCAGAUCAUAUAUUUAAACAUCUUCUCAAGACAACCCAAAUUUCAAAGGGUUACAAUCCCAACCUCAAUUCCUUGUGUCCAUUAUUUUUACUUCAAAGAGUACUUAAGCAAGAGGGGGAGAUGAUCUGAGUUCAGAAAUUACU
RNAcentral lists this long non-coding RNA (1516 nucleotides) under Medicago truncatula (barrel medic). RNAcentral's name for it is "long non-coding RNA (MTRU_LNC000810)". The record is from RNAcentral. Lineage: Eukaryota; Viridiplantae; Streptophyta; Magnoliopsida; Fabales; Fabaceae.